AUGUAUAAGAUGAACGUGGACACAUGCUUUAUGGAGGAUGGAUGCGGGGCUACUGCGGCCGUUCUUCGAAACCACCAUGGACAGGCUUUGGCUGGUUCAUCGUCCCUGGUUAGUCACGUUCUCGACGCCCCUUCCGCCGAGGCGAUGGCAUUGAAAAAUGGUAUGAUGCUUGCAGACCAACUUGGAUGUUCCAAUAUCACUUUUGAAUCAGACUGCCUCGAAAUUAUCUUAGCAUGCAAGGGGGAAGUGGACAUUCUGGGUCCUUAUUCGGCGAUUUUGAGUGACUGUUUUAUAUUAGCUCAAAGAAUCGGGUCAGUAUCCUAUGCUCAUUGUCCAAGAGGGGCAAACCAAGUGGCACACAAGGUAGCUAUGUUGUUACGAUUCUAA
RNAcentral lists this ribosomal RNA (387 nucleotides) under Triticum aestivum (bread wheat). RNAcentral describes it as "partial small subunit ribosomal RNA". Lineage: Eukaryota; Viridiplantae; Streptophyta; Magnoliopsida; Poales; Poaceae. The record is from RNAcentral.